This 201-nucleotide long non-coding RNA is filed under the name Brassica rapa (field mustard). Its description in RNAcentral is "long non-coding RNA (BRAP_LNC007367)". Lineage: Eukaryota; Viridiplantae; Streptophyta; Magnoliopsida; Brassicales; Brassicaceae. The record is from RNAcentral.
UGGAUAAAAUCAAUAUUACAGAAUUGAUUUGAGACCUAAUCAGAUAGUCAUGCUUAUACUAAUAUGGCAAAUGCGCAUAAUCCAUAUGCAAGGGUACUAUCGUAUACAGCUGAUAACACGUGAACGAAGCAAAACCUUCACGGCGUUAACAAACUGUGAGUGGGUCCCUGGUGAAGCCAACUCCACCAUCCACAUGUUCCG